Molecule: long non-coding RNA, 337 nt
Organism: Medicago truncatula (barrel medic)
Lineage: Eukaryota; Viridiplantae; Streptophyta; Magnoliopsida; Fabales; Fabaceae
Exons: 2
Source: RefSeq, a predicted model, not a curated record
CUCGGCAGUUUGCUACCGAGGUUUUUAGGAACCGGCGGCAGUUAACUGCCGAAGUUCUUAGGACACCGGCGGCAGUUAAGUGCCGAGGAAAACCUCGGUAGUUAACUGCCGAGGAGAAUGUUAUAAGAACAGAACUUCAUAGGAGUUUCCAAAACUCCAUUGUUGCGUUUUUAAUUUUUCAAGGUGCGAUUUUGAGUCAUUUGAAGCCAUUAGAAGCCAAUUUUAAUCACAAAAACAAAUAUGUCUCAGAAUCAGAAUCAGGGUAACGUUCACGAUGAUGAGACGAAAAAAGAAAAGUCACCUAUGACAUGGCAUGGAAUUGUUUGCGAUGGUUCCG